This 427-nucleotide long non-coding RNA is filed under the name Mytilus galloprovincialis (Mediterranean mussel). Lineage: Eukaryota; Metazoa; Mollusca; Bivalvia; Mytilida; Mytilidae. The record is from RNAcentral.
ACUACUUCAAUGGCUCCAGCGAGUUUUUGUGACCCAUGCACUGAGGCUGAUUCGGCACUACCAGCAACAAAGUAUUUCUCCGAUUGUAAAGAGCGACUGUGCACAGCCUGCGCUGAGUCAUAUCACGGUUUAGAGCAUUCAAAUCUCAUCAUGUUAUAUCUUUGUCGUCUGUCGGUUCCAAUAUCACACUAUCGGCGAAGAAAAUCUGUAACGUUCAUAUAGAUAUGCUUUUAGAUUAUUAUUGCACAGAUCAUGAUGUUGUUUGCUGUAGAGCAUGCAUUCCUCAAGCCCACAGAAAAUGUGAAAAUGUUCUUCCAUUGGAACAUGUAUCGAAAGAUGUCAAAAAUUCUGCAUUGUUCACCGAAUUAAUGGCGGAGAUAAAGCAUCUAAAAACAACAUUAAAUGAUUUACACGAUAACAGAGAAUC